This 437-nucleotide ribosomal RNA is filed under the name uncultured bacterium. Its description in RNAcentral is "bacterial SSU rRNA". It matches the Rfam family "Bacterial small subunit ribosomal RNA", at positions 30 to 463 of the family's 1533-position model. The record is from RNAcentral.
AUUGAACGCUGGCGGCAUGCCUUACACAUGCAAGUCGAACGGCAGCACGGGUGCUUGCACCUGGUGGCGAGUGGCGAACGGGUGAGUAAUACAUCGGAACGUACCUUAUCGUGGGGGAUAACGCAGCGAAAGCUGUGCUAAUACCGCAUACGCCCUGAGGGGGAAAGCGGGGGAUCGAAAGACCUCGCGCGAUUAGAGCGGCCGAUGCCUGAUUAGCUUGUUGGUGGGGUAAAAGCCCACCAAGGCGACGAUCAGUAGCUGGUCUGAGAGGACGAUCAGCCACACUGGGACUGAGACACGGCCCAGACUCCUACGGGAGGCAGCAGUGGGGAAUUUUGGACAAUGGGGGAAACCCUGAUCCAGCAAUGCCGCGUGAGUGAAGAAGGCCUCGGUUGGUAAAGGUACUCUUUUGUUCUAGGGAAGGAAAACGAACCGGA